Molecule: ribosomal RNA, 468 nt
Filed under: uncultured bacterium
Lineage: Bacteria
Description: partial 16S ribosomal RNA
Rfam family: Bacterial small subunit ribosomal RNA
Source: RNAcentral
GACGAACGCUGGCGGCGUGCUUAACACAUGCAAGUCGAACGGAAAGGCCCUGCUUUUGUGGGGUGCUCGAGUGGCGAACGGGUGAGUAACACGUGAGUAACCUGCCCUUGACUUUGGGAUAACUUCAGGAAACUGGGGCUAAUACCGGAUAGGAGCUCCUGCGGCAUGGUGGGGGUUGGAAAGUUUCGGCGGUUGGGGAUGGACUCGCGGCUUAUCAGCUUGUUGGUGGGGUAGUGGCUUACCAAGGCUGUGACGGGUAGCCGGCCUGAGAGGGUGACCGGCCACAUUGGGACUGAGAUACGGCCCAGACUCCUACGGGAGGCAGCAGUGGGGAAUAUUGCACAAUGGGCGGAAGCCUGAUGCAGCAACGCCGCGUGCGGGAUGACGGCCUUCGGGUUGUAAACCGCUUUCGCCUGUGACGAAGCGUGAGUGACGGUAAUGGGUAAAGAAGCACCGGCUAACUACGUG